Molecule: ribosomal RNA, 850 nt
Filed under: uncultured Bacillus sp.
Lineage: Bacteria; Bacillati; Bacillota; Bacilli; Caryophanales; Bacillaceae
Description: bacterial SSU rRNA
Rfam family: Bacterial small subunit ribosomal RNA
Source: RNAcentral
UGGAGUCGAGCGAACUGAUGAAGAGCUUGCUUUUGGUCAGUUAGCGGCGGACGGGUGAGUAACACGUGGGUAACCUGCCUGUAAGACUAGGAUAACUCCGGGAAACCGGGGCUAAUACUGGAUAAGUUUUCUCUCCGCAUGGAGAGAGAUUGAAAGAUGGCUUCGGCUAUCACUUACAGAUGGACCCGCGGGGCAUUAGCUAGUUGGUGAGGUAACGGCUCACCAAGGGAACGAUGCGUAGCCGACCUGAGAGGGUGAUCGGCCACAUUGGGACUGAGACACGGCCCAAACUCCUACGGGAGGCAGCAGUAGGGAAUCUUCCGCAAUGGACGAAAGUCUGACGGAGCAACGCCGCGUGAGUGAUGAAGGUUUUCGGAUCGUAAAACUCUGUUGUUAGGGAAGAACAAGUACCGUUCGAAUAGGGCGGCGCCUUGACGGUACCCGGCCAGAAAGCCACGGCUAACUACGUGCCAGCAGCCGCGGUAAUACGUAGGUGGCAAGCGUUGUCCGGAAUUAUUGGGCGUAAAGCGCGCGCAGGCGGCUUCUUAAGUCUGAUGUGAAAUCUUGCGGCUCAACCGCAAGCGGUCAUUGGAAACUGGGAGGCUUGAGUGCAGAAGAGGAGAGUGGAAUUCCACGUGUAGCGGUGAAAUGCGUAGAGAUGUGGAGGAACACCAGUGGCGAAGGCGGCUCUCUGGUCUGUAACUGACGCUGAGGCGCGAAAGCGUGGGGAGCAAACAGGAUUAGAUACCCUGGUAGUCCACGCCGUAAACGAUGAGUGCUAAGUGUUAGAGGGUUUCCGCCCUUUAGUGCUGCAGCUAACGCAUUAAGCACUCCGCCUGGGGAGUACGGC